UUUUAUUUGCUUCAUUAAGACCAUUUCUUUUUCAAUUUCAACCAUCCAACAACAGAUCUUGAUUUAAACUUCUCCAACCUCCAUUUUUUUUUUGGCUAAAAGAUUGACGUCAUACUCUUUCUGAUUCUUAGCGUCGGGACUGUGAAGAUCUUCUCUGAAAUAGGAAACCAAAAGCACAGAAGAGGCGGAAUGAGGGAGGGAUGGCCAUAUUACUGUGUCUUCUCCAGGAUCGGCGGUACGGGAAGAGGGGAGGGAGUUGGCUUUGCUACUGCUAUCUACUGGGAGAGAG
This 289-nucleotide long non-coding RNA is filed under the name Coffea arabica (coffee). RNAcentral describes it as "long non-coding RNA (CARA_LNC007209)". The record is from RNAcentral. Lineage: Eukaryota; Viridiplantae; Streptophyta; Magnoliopsida; Gentianales; Rubiaceae.